GUCUGCGGCGUAUCAGGUUGUAGUGGGGUGUAAAGUACCCCCUUUCCCUUAUACGCGUAAGGCCCUGAGAGAGGGAGCCCUGAGAUGACUUCUGAGACAUGAGUCCAGGCCCUACGGGGCGGCAGCAGUAGCGAAAACUUCACACUGGCGGAAACCCCGCUGAGGGAAUCCAAGUGCCAGCACAUUGUGUUGGCUGUUCUUUGGUCUAAAAAACCAGAGAACGUAAGGGCCGGGUAAGACGGGUGCCAGCCGCCGCGGUAAUACCCGCGGCCCACGUGGUGGUCGAUAUUAUUGAGCCUAAAACGUCCGUAGCCGGUCUUGUAAAUCCUUGGGUAAAUCGACCAGCUUAACUGUUCGAAGUCCGGGGAGACUGCAAGACUUGGGAUCGGGAGAGGUCAGAGGUACUUCUGGGGUAGGGGUAAAAUCCUGUAAUCCUAGAAGGCCCACCGCUGGCGAAGGCGUCUGACUAGAACGAAUCCGCCGGUGAGGGACGAAGCCCUGGGGCGCAAACGGGAUUAGAUACCCCGGUAGUCCAGGGUGUAAACGCUGCGGGCUUGGUGUUGGGGGUCCUUUGAGGGCGCCCAGUGCCGGAGAGAAGUUGUUAAGCCUGCUGCUUGGGGAGUACGUCCGCAAGGAUGAAACUUAAAGGAAUUGGCGGGGGAGCACCGCAACGGGAGGAGCGUGCGGUUCAAUUGGAUUCAACGCCGG
Molecule: ribosomal RNA, 708 nt
Filed under: uncultured archaeon
Lineage: Archaea
Description: bacterial SSU rRNA
Rfam family: Archaeal small subunit ribosomal RNA
Source: RNAcentral